This 65-nucleotide transfer RNA is filed under the name Dipodomys ordii (Ord's kangaroo rat). It matches the Rfam family "tRNA". From Rfam's summary of the family: Transfer RNA (tRNA) molecules are approximately 80 nucleotides in length. Their secondary structure includes four short double-helical elements and three loops (D, anti-codon, and T loops). The record is from Rfam by way of RNAcentral. Lineage: Eukaryota; Metazoa; Chordata; Mammalia; Rodentia; Heteromyidae.
GGUGGCUCAGCAGUAGAGUACUUGCCUUGCAUGCAUGAGGCCCUGGGUUCGAUUCCUCAGCACCA